This is a long non-coding RNA of Trichechus manatus latirostris (Florida manatee), 402 nucleotides long. RefSeq lists it as uncharacterized. The record is from RefSeq and is a predicted model, not a curated record. Lineage: Eukaryota; Metazoa; Chordata; Mammalia; Sirenia; Trichechidae. The transcript has 2 exons.
UGACCGAGAUUCGUUGUGUGAAGUAGUUCCUUGAGGCGUUUCUAUGUGGCUGUUCAGCUGCUGCUGAGAAGGAAAGGACCCACGCUCGCACUAACAGUCUUUUGACGAACACCUUUUGCCUCAGUCUGCCCCCGGGAUUAAAGGGGAAACCGAGACCUGAAUGGGCUUGGCCAUCUCCAGUAGCUCGCGUGACGACCGCAGUCGUGGCAGGUGAAGAAACUGAUACCGAGAAACUAGCUUAAGUUGCUAGUUACAUAGUGACAGAUUUAAACAGGUAUGUCUGAUUCCAAAAUACAUGUCCUUUCCACUACUGAAAUAUUAGGGCUGUUUUUAGACGGGAGGAGAAAUGUGGGAUGGAUAAAAAGAAGACAAAAGAUGUUUGCCAUUUGAUACAAAACAGAA